RNAcentral lists this ribosomal RNA (454 nucleotides) under uncultured bacterium. Its description in RNAcentral is "bacterial SSU rRNA". It matches the Rfam family "Bacterial small subunit ribosomal RNA", at positions 25 to 518 of the family's 1533-position model. The record is from RNAcentral.
CAGAACGAACGCUGGCGGCAGGUCUUAGGCAUGCAAGUCGAACGGGUGUAGCAAUACAUCAGUGGCGCACGAGUGAGUAACGCGUGGGAAGCUACCCAUCAACUGGGGAAUAACGUUUGGAAACGAACGCUAAUACCGCAUACGCCCGAAAGGGGAAAGAUUUAUCGGGUGAUGGAUGUGCCCGCGUUGGAUUAGCUUGUUGUGGGGUAACGGCCUACCGAGGCGAUGAUCCAUAGCUGGUCUGAGAGGACGAUCAGCCACGCUGGGACUGAGACACGGCCCAGACUCCUACGGGAGGCAGCAGCUAAGAAUAUUGGACAAUUGGGGGGAAACCCUGACCCAGCAACGCCGCGUGAAGGAAGAAGGUUUUCGGAUUGUAAACUUCUGUCCUUGGUGAAGAGAAGAAGACGGUAGCCAAGGAGGAAGCCCCGGCUAACUACGUGCCAGCAGCAGC